UGGGGAAUAUUGCGCAAUGGGCGAAAGCCUGACCCAGCAACGCCGCGUGAAGGAUGAAGUAUUUCGGUAUGUAAACUUCGUAAGAAUAGGAAGAAUAAAUGACGGUACUAUUUGUAAGGUCCGGCUAACUACGUGCCAGCAGCCGCGGUAAUACGUAGGGACCAAGCGUUGUUCGGAUUUACUGGGCGUAAAGGGCGCGUAGGCGGUGUGUCAAGUCAGUUGUGAAAUCUCCGAGCUUAACUCGGAACGGUCAACUGAUACUGUCACACUAGAGUACAGAAGGGGCAAUCGGAAUUCUUGGUGUAGCGGUGAAAUGCGUAGAUAUCAAGAGGAACACCUGAGGCGAAGGCGGGUUGCUGGGCUGAUACUGACGCUGAGGCGCGAAAGCUAGGGUAGCAAACGGGAUUAGAUACCCCCGUAGUCCCUGAGCGGGCUGGCAAGGCGCAU
Molecule: ribosomal RNA, 447 nt
Filed under: uncultured bacterium
Lineage: Bacteria
Description: bacterial SSU rRNA
Rfam family: Bacterial small subunit ribosomal RNA
Source: RNAcentral